Molecule: ribosomal RNA, 376 nt
Filed under: uncultured delta proteobacterium
Lineage: Bacteria; Deltaproteobacteria
Description: bacterial SSU rRNA
Rfam family: Bacterial small subunit ribosomal RNA
Source: RNAcentral
AGGAAGCACCGGCUAACUCCGUGCCAGCAGCCGCGGUAAUACGGAGGGUGCAGGCGUUGUUCGGAAUUAUUGGGCGUAAAGCGCGUGUAGGCGGAUAGAUAAGUCAGGCGUGAAAUCCCUUGACUCAAUCAAGGAACUGCACUUGAAACUAUUUAUCUCGAGUACGAUAGGGGAGGGUGGAAUUCCCAGUGUAGAGGUGAAAUUCAUAGAUAUUGGGAGGAACACCAGUGGCGAAGGCGACCCUCUGGAUCGAUACUGACGCUGAGACGCGAAAGCGUGGGUAGCAAACAGGAUUAGAUACCCUGGUAGUCCACGCUGUAAACGAUGUGCACUAGGUGUUGGAGGUACUCAAUCCUUCAGUGCCGCAGCUAACGCA